UAGUCUUAUGUUUAUUGUGUUUGGUGUUGUGGCAGUGAUAGUGAUGGUGUUUUCUGGUUUGCUCCUUUACUGUUGCUGCAAGAAUAAUAAAGGUGUCAAACAGAGCGAUGAUACAGACUACGAUGAUGUUGAGACUCUGAUGCAGAAGAUGACAGGAGAUACCUGGACCACCAUCACCUACCGUACAGUAGGACACCAAACACCUUCAUCUGCUCAUGACUGUUAAAGCAUAAAAAUAUUUUUUGAUUGACUGGACUCACAAAAGUCUUGAUUUAACUCCCAGAUUUCAUGACUCUUGUGGAAGUGUACAGAAUAUCUUAUACUUUUGUAAGUCCAAUGAACUUCAGUACGUUGCUGCAGAUAUUAUGAACGAGUGCUUCUUUGCUUCCCUCAUGUCACU
This is a long non-coding RNA of Rhinichthys klamathensis goyatoka, 400 nucleotides long. RefSeq lists it as uncharacterized. The transcript has 3 exons. The record is from RefSeq and is a predicted model, not a curated record. Lineage: Eukaryota; Metazoa; Chordata; Actinopteri; Cypriniformes; Leuciscidae.